Molecule: ribosomal RNA, 474 nt
Filed under: Chryseobacterium indologenes
Lineage: Bacteria; Pseudomonadati; Bacteroidota; Flavobacteriia; Flavobacteriales; Weeksellaceae
Description: bacterial SSU rRNA
Rfam family: Bacterial small subunit ribosomal RNA
Source: RNAcentral
CAGAGACUAAGCGAAAGUGAUAAGUUAGCCACCUGGGGAGUACGUUCGCAAGAAUGAAACUCAAAGGAAUUGACGGGGGCCCGCACAAGCGGUGGAUUAUGUGGUUUAAUUCGAUGAUACGCGAGGAACCUUACCAAGGCUUAAAUGGGAAAUGACCGGUUUAGAAAUAGACCUUUCGCAAGACAUUUUUCAAGGUGCUGCAUGGUUGUCGUCAGCUCGUGCCGUGAGGUGUUAGGUUAAGUCCUGCAACGAGCGCAACCCCUGUCACUAGUUGCCAUCAUUCAGUUGGGGACUCUAGUGAGACUGCCUACGCAAGUAGAGAGGAAGGUGGGGAUGACGUCAAAUCAUCACGGCCCUUACGCCUUGGGCCACACACGUAAUACAAUGGCCGGUACAGAGGGCAGCUACACAGCGAUGUGAUGCAAAUCUCGAAAGCCGGUCUCAGUUCGGAUUGGAGUCUGCAACUCGACUCUA